RNAcentral lists this ribosomal RNA (253 nucleotides) under uncultured bacterium. RNAcentral describes it as "partial 16S ribosomal RNA". It matches the Rfam family "Bacterial small subunit ribosomal RNA", at positions 524 to 776 of the family's 1533-position model. The record is from RNAcentral.
UACGUAGGGGGCUAGCGUUGUCCGGAAUCAUUGGGCGUAAAGCGCGCGUAGGCGGUCAGGUAAGUCCGGUGUGAAAGUCAAAGGCUCAACCUUUGAAUGCCGCUGGAUACUGCCUGACUUGAGUCCGGAAGGGGCGAGUGGAAUUCCUGGUGUAGCGGUGAAAUGUGUUGAUAUCGGAAGGAACGCCGGUGGCGAAAGCGACACACUGGAUCUUGUCUGACGCUGAGGCACGAAAGCCAGGGGAGCGAACGGG